This 484-nucleotide ribosomal RNA is filed under the name uncultured bacterium. Its description in RNAcentral is "partial 16S ribosomal RNA". It matches the Rfam family "Bacterial small subunit ribosomal RNA", at positions 30 to 507 of the family's 1533-position model. The record is from RNAcentral.
AUUGAACGCUGGCGGCAGGCCUAACACAUGCAAGUCGAGCGGAUGAAGGGAGCUUGCUCCUGGAUUCAGCGGCGGACGGGUGAGUAAUGCCUAGGAAUCUGCCUGGUAGUGGGGGAUAACGUCCGGAAACGGGCGCUAAUACCGCAUACGUCCUGAGGGAGAAAGUGGGGGAUCUCCGGACCUCACGCUAUCAGAUGAGCCUAGGUCGGAUUAGCUAGUUGGUGGGGUAAAGGCCUACCAAGGCGACGAUCCGUAACUGGUCUGAGAGGAUGAUCAGUCACACUGGAACUGAGACACGGUCCAGACUCCUACGGGAGGCAGCAGUGGGGAAUAUUGGACAAAGGGCGAAAGCCUGAUCCAGCCAUGCCGCGUGUGUGAAGAAGGUCUUCGGAUUGUAAAGCACUUUAAGUUGGGAGGAAGGGCAGUAAGUUAAUACCUUGCUGUUUUGACGUUACCAACAGAAUAAGCACCGGCUAACUUCGUG